GGAGCGGAUGCGUCCCGGUGGGCGUCCCGGUCUUCAAAACCGGUGGCGGGCGUCGCGGAGACGUCCGCGGUGGGUUCGACUCCCAUCCGCUCCC
RNAcentral lists this transfer RNA (94 nucleotides) under Anaerolineae bacterium. RNAcentral describes it as "tRNA-Sec". It matches the Rfam family "Selenocysteine transfer RNA". Lineage: Bacteria; Bacillati; Chloroflexota; Anaerolineae. The record is from RNAcentral. RNAcentral also lists the same sequence under 2 other names.